AUUGAACGCUGGCGGCAGGCCUAACACAUGCAAGUCGAGCGGAUGAAGGGAGCUUGCUCCUGGAUUCAGCGGCGGACGGGCGAGUAAUGCCUAGGAAUCUGCCUGGUAGUGGGGGAUAGCGUCCGGAAACGGGCGCUAUUCCCGCAUACGUCCUGAGGGAGAAAGAGGGGGAUCUUCGGACCUCACGCCAACAGCUGAACCUAGGGCGGAUUAGCUGGUUGGUGGGGUAAAGGCCUACCAAGACGACGACCCGUAACUGGUCUGAAAGGAUGACCGGUCACACUGGAACUGAAACACGGUCAAGACUCUUACGGGGGGCGGCGGUGGGGAAUAUUGGAAAAUGAGCAAAAGCUGGACCCAGCCAUGCCGCGUGUGGGAAGAGGGUCUUCGGAUUGUAAAGCACUUUAAGUUAGGAGGAAGGGCAGUAAGUUAAUAACUUGCUGUUUUGACGUUACCUACAGAAUAAGCACCGGCUAACUUCGUG
This 484-nucleotide ribosomal RNA is filed under the name uncultured bacterium. RNAcentral describes it as "partial 16S ribosomal RNA". It matches the Rfam family "Bacterial small subunit ribosomal RNA", at positions 30 to 507 of the family's 1533-position model. The record is from RNAcentral.